RNAcentral lists this long non-coding RNA (321 nucleotides) under Nicotiana tabacum (common tobacco). Its description in RNAcentral is "long non-coding RNA (NTAB_LNC009307)". The record is from RNAcentral. Lineage: Eukaryota; Viridiplantae; Streptophyta; Magnoliopsida; Solanales; Solanaceae.
GUGCGGAAGCAUAGCCAUCAGCGAUGUCGGUAACCAAACUCAACGUACGGACAAACAUUAUCAAGGAUCCUGAUAUCGUAGAAGCAUCCGAGUCGAUAAUAGAGGAUCUCGAUCCCGUCCUAUUAGACGACAAUGACAGGAAAAAAAAAGACUUAUAUCGGGCAAAAUCUCUCGGAACCAGGUAAGUUUCGUAAAUUCUUAACUAACAGUGUUAAUCUGUUUGCCUUCUCCCAUGCAGAUAUGCCAGGCAUCCUGAAAGACAUCGCCACGCACAAACUGAAUGUUGACCCCCUCUACCCGCCAGUGCGGCAAAUGGGGAGA